UGUGUGUGUGUGUGUGUGUGUGUGUCAGUUUGCUGCAGAUGCACAGGAUAAGCAGUGGUUGGCGGAGCGACAUCACAUGAGAGCGACAGGAGGAAAGAUGGCCUACCUGCUGAUUGAAGAAGACAUCCAGGAUCUGUCCCGCAGCGACGAGUACAAGGACUGUCCUGAUGUCAGGAUGGACGAGAUGAAGCCGUUCUCGGUUCCUUCGUGGAUGAUUGACAAGAUGAAGAGAGCCAUGGAGGCGCAGCGAGACGCUGACCUCUGACCUCCUCCCCAUCAGAGAGCAAUCAUGUGAUUCACACACUCUGACCUGAUUGGCUCCUUCUAUAUUUUCAUUUAUACUGUUUUCUAACAAAAAUUAUUAAAACCGUUUGUGACCAGAA
Paralichthys olivaceus (Japanese flounder) is the source of this 383-nucleotide non-coding RNA. Lineage: Eukaryota; Metazoa; Chordata; Actinopteri; Pleuronectiformes; Paralichthyidae. The record is from RefSeq and is a predicted model, not a curated record.